AUUGAACGCUGGCGGCAGGCCUAACACAUGCAAGUCGAACGGAAACAGGAGGCAGCUUGCUGCUCCGCUGACGAGUGGCGGACGGGUGAGUAAUGUCUGGGAAACUGCCUGAUGGAGGGGGAUAACUACUGGAAACGGUAGCUAAUACCGCAUAACGUCGCAAGACCAAAGAGGGGGACCUUCGGGCCUCUUGCCAUCGGAUGUGCCCAGAUGGGAUUAGCUAGUAGGUGGGGUAACGGCUCACCUAGGCGACGAUCCCUAGCUGGUCUGAGAGGAUGACCAGCCACACUGGAACUGAGACACGGUCCAGACUCCUACGGGAGGCAGCAGUGGGGAAUAUUGCACAAUGGGCGCAAGCCUGAUGCAGCCAUGCCGCGUGUAUGAAGAAGGCCUUCGGGUUGUAAAGUACUUUCAGCGGGGAGGAAGGCGAUAAGGUUAAUAACCUUGUCGAUUGACGUUACCCGCAGAAGAAGCACCGGCUAACUCCGUGCCAGCAGCCGCAGUAA
This 506-nucleotide ribosomal RNA is filed under the name uncultured bacterium. RNAcentral's name for it is "partial 16S ribosomal RNA". It matches the Rfam family "Bacterial small subunit ribosomal RNA", at positions 30 to 523 of the family's 1533-position model. The record is from RNAcentral.